Molecule: ribosomal RNA, 301 nt
Filed under: uncultured bacterium
Lineage: Bacteria
Description: partial 16S ribosomal RNA
Rfam family: Bacterial small subunit ribosomal RNA
Source: RNAcentral
CAGUCGCCGCGGUAAUACAGAGGGUGCGAGCGUUAAUCGGAUUUACUGGGCGUAAAGCGUGCGUAGGCGGCUUUUUAAGUCGGAUGUGAAAUCCCUGAGCUUAACUUAGGAAUUGCAUUCGAUACUGGGAAGCUAGAGUAUGGGAGAGGAUGGUAGAAUUCCAGGUGUAUCGGUGAAAUGCGUAGAGAUCUGGAGGAAUACCGAUGGCGAAGGCAGCCAUCUGGCCUAAUACUGACGCUGAGGUACGAAAGCAUGGGGAGCAAACAGGAUUAGAUACCCCAGUAGUCCCUGUCUCUUAUAC